This is a long non-coding RNA of Chiroxiphia lanceolata (lance-tailed manakin), 3031 nucleotides long. RefSeq lists it as uncharacterized. The transcript has 2 exons. The record is from RefSeq and is a predicted model, not a curated record. Lineage: Eukaryota; Metazoa; Chordata; Aves; Passeriformes; Pipridae.
UCUCAAGAAGGACUACGCUAUGGAAGCAAAGAGGGACUUUUAUGAACUGUUGCAGAGUGUGUUUUGUGUUUAGUAUUGUGUUUUCUUUAUUGUAAUAUUCCCCUCAUUGUUAUACCCUACUUUUCCAGCACUUUCCCUCAUCCCUCAUGGCCCUAAACCACGUCCUCUUAUUGGUUAAUUUUUGGUGCAGUGCCAUGUAUAUUUAUGUUUCUCCUUAUAUGGUGCUUGUUUGAAUGCUCCGCCUUAACUCCACCCUCUGUUACAGCACCUUCCCUGCCCUGCAUUAGAAAAGGCGGGAGCCAUGUUGUGUUGAUGCAUUCUAGUAAAACCUUUUCACCUGGAUGCCAGAAGUGCGUCUGCCUGCUUGCUUCGGAGCUAACUGCGACAAGCGGCACCCUGCGUGUGGCACGACCCACAAGACUUCUAACAUCUAAAGAAUAACAAGGACCACCGCAGCCGUGGGAACAACAGCAGUGCAGCCAGAACAUUCCUGAGAUCGCACCCAGCCUUAUCUUUUCGUUUACUCGCAACUCAAGACUCUCCAUUUCACUUCCCAAACUUCUUGUUUUCUUGCUUCAAGGAAAUUUGCAUUUACAAACUGCAGCUUUAAAAUUAGUGUUCUCUGAGAUAGAGUGACUGUAAUCGUCUAACGGCAAGAAUUCGGUCGAGAUCCCCGUGUGCCAGUGCACCAGCACUGGGAGCAACACUACAUCUUUCUUCAAGCUGACAACAGGAUACAACUAAACUCUCCCUGUCAUAGACCACUGCAAAACCAGAACAGAUCCAAAACCCGUUUUCAUUUUUUUCUUUUCCCUUACAGCAAAUCCUAACAUAGUUUUCUAUUUAAUGUCAUGUGUUUAAAAAAGUAAUUAAAUUGUUAUUUCUUCUUAUUUAAUAAUUUAACAUCUGAAUAAUUUGAGGCUUUAUUUGAAAUGAAAAUUUGCAUUUUUGUUGACAUAUUUGUUGAGUUUAUUUCUAAAGGUAGAGACUAACUUCCAAGGAUGAACAAGUUGGUAGGAGACCUACUGUUGCACUAACAUGCACUGGUAAAGAGAAUGAGUUCUGAUGGGGAGAGCUACUGUUGUCUGUAGAUAGUGAAAUCUGAAAAGAUGCUGUCAGCCACGUAAUAUGAUUCUGCUCCCUAAAAUUGUAGUCCCUUUGCUCUGCUGAACCAUACCCUUCCGUCUUUGCCUGGUAGGCUGAUGGCAAUGCAGGAGCGAAAAAUCUCUUACACACUAGUAUGUAAAGCAGAGGUUUUGAGGAAGACACGUGUACAAGUUGUAGAAGGCGUGCGGAAGUUGUAGAAGGUAUGUGAAAGUUGUAGAAAAUCCAUUAAAGUUAAGUGUGAUAUAGAAGGAUCAAAGAGUGGUUUACUAAUAAUAGUGGAUAUUGAAUGUUAAGUAGAAAAGUGAAGCGAUCCCAACAUUAUUGAAAGCAAGUUCCCCUUUACCUCUUGGGGAAAAGUGAUAGAAAAGGAUAUGUGAAAAGAAAGUUUUGUGUAAGUCGACAGAUGGUAAGAGAGGGGAGACAAUUGGCAAGAAGUUGUUCUACAAAGAAAAAGAGUAAGUUAUAGGAAGAAUGUGGAAGUGGUAAGAAGAAAAGCAUCUCCAUGGCAGUAGAGAGUGGAGAGUGCUGAGGCCAGAAGGAAAAUGGCACCUCGAACCCUGGAAAUAGUUGCAACUGAUUGCUGAUUGCUGUUGCACUGAGUUUCAGACUGUGUUAGUAAAUUAUGGUGGUAACUUGCUUAUAUUUUUGAGUUCAUACCUUUUAUUUCAUGUAAUACCUGACCUCGCAAUUUAGUUUCAGCGUGUGCAACCCUUCGUCCCCCUGCAAUCCAUCUACUAAUAAAAACAAGAAAGGGGGAACAGAGGGAGACAGAGCCAAAUGAUGGCCUUGCGAAUUGUUUGGUAACAAAAAUCGUUUUUUAUGUGAAAUUUUGUAUUUUUUAAUAGCUGUCUUAUCCCUGAGUAAUAGAAAAGUUUAUAUGGCUUUGAGUUUUGAAUUGAAAAUUUAUGUUUUACAAGAAAUAUGUUUGCUAAAACAAAAGUUUAUUUUAUAAAGAGCGACAUGAUAAAAUAAACUUAAAAGUGUGUUCGCAUGAGUGAUGGUGGCCACCGUGAGAGUUCGUGUGAAUGUGCGUGUGUGUGUGUGUGUGUGAGCUUAAAAAAACGCAACAAGAGCUACCUCAAAUGCAUUAUCCUGACAAAGUAGGAGAAAUGUUUUAGUAACUGACCUUUGCUUAAUUUCGUAAAUUCUGUUUGUUCUUCUUCUUGAAUUAAUGACUAAUCUCUAUUUUCUUUACUUUGGUACCUCAAAUCACAGUUGAAAAGUUAUGCCGGCAAAUUUCCACAGGUUGUUAAAUUGUUUAUGGUUUAAAAGUUCAUUGUCGUUGGAAGUUUUGCUAUUCAAGGUUACAUAUCAAAGUUUGUUUGGUUGUUGCAAUUAAAUAAAAUAAGUAAAAAUCCAGUUAUGGAAAGGUCAAAAGCAAUCUAGUAACGUCAAAAUUAAAAAUAAUAAGAUUGUCAUUUUACAUAUAUCCCUUGAUGUACUUUUAUGUAUCUUAACAUCAUUGUUUACUUCUUUUUAUACAUUCAAGAUAGAUUCAUAAAAGUGUUCCCAGAUUCACUUUUUUUUUAGUAAACAAAAGAAGGGGAGAUGUUGGAGGUGGACAAAUGAAGGAAAUAUCGCCUCUCAAGAAGGACUACGCUAUGGAAGCAAAGAGGGACUUUUAUGAACUGUUGCAGAGUGUGUUUUGUGUUUAGUAUUGUGUUUUCUUUAUUGUAAUAUUCCCCUCAUUGUUAUACCCUACUUUUCCAGCACUUUCCCUCAUCCCUCAUGGCCCUAAACCACGUCCUCUUAUUGGUUAAUUUUUGGUGCAGUGCCAUGUAUAUUUAUGUUUCUCCUUAUAUGGUGCUUGUUUGAAUGCUCUGCUUUAACUCCACCCUUUGUUCCGGCACCUUUCCUACCCUGCACUGUAAAAGGUGGGAGCCAUGUUGUGUUGAUGCAUUCUAAUAAAACCUUUUCACCUGGA